UACGUAGGGGGCAAGCGUUGUCCGGAUUUAUUGGGCGUAAAAGGCUUGUAGGUGGCCACGCCAAGUCGGAUGUGAAAUUUCCCGGCUCAACUGGGAGGGGUCAUUCGAUACUGGCGGGCUCGAGGCCGGUAGGGGGAAGUGGAAUUCCCGGUGUAGUGGUGGAAUGCGUAGAUAUCGGGAGGAACACCAGUGGCGAAGGCGGCUUCCUGGACCGGUUCUGACACUGAGGAGCGAAAGCGUGGGGAGCGAUCCGG
This 254-nucleotide ribosomal RNA is filed under the name uncultured bacterium. Its description in RNAcentral is "partial 16S ribosomal RNA". It matches the Rfam family "Bacterial small subunit ribosomal RNA", at positions 524 to 776 of the family's 1533-position model. The record is from RNAcentral.